RNAcentral lists this long non-coding RNA (1105 nucleotides) under Gossypium barbadense (sea-island cotton). Its description in RNAcentral is "long non-coding RNA (GBAR_LNC002412)". Lineage: Eukaryota; Viridiplantae; Streptophyta; Magnoliopsida; Malvales; Malvaceae. The record is from RNAcentral.
UUGGAUCAUGAAGCCCAGGCUGAAGGGAACCAGUAGGGUUCGUUUGCUCCCAACAGCAAUAGUCGUCCCUUUGCAGCGCCGGUAGUUGUUCCUGAGCAGGCCAUCGAUGAGGUUAUCUUGCAUGACGAAAGGGAGACUUCAGUGCUCCAGAGUACACCAAGUUUAAAGGAGGUAGUUAGAGGAGAAGAGGUAGUCGAAGUUGGCAAUCUAGAUUCCGAAAAACACACAACUGUGGUUUUCUUUGAAAAUAAAGAACCCCUUUCCAUGAACACUCUCUUGGAUCAGAAGGGAUUUCUUGAUUCGAGCAAAGAAAUGAAGUUCAGGAGCAGAUCGAAUAAGCAGAAUAAAAGAUUUCAUGGGACAAAUGUAAGGUUCAAAAACGCUAGCUCCCCUCGUGUCUUUUUUAAAAAAUCUAUAGAGAAUCUUGCUGAGAGUAUAUCAAGUAUCUCAAAAGAAAAUUUUGGUACUGGUUUAUUUUCCAGAAACGAUGAGAAGAUGAAGGGGUGUAUAAUCCCUAAACAGUAUGACUAUUGAAGGUUUUUGGUUUGUCCCUCUUGAUUUUUUAUUUAUGUGGGUUUUGCUUUUUGGGCUUUUAUUAUUUUUAUAUUCUUAUUAUAUUAUUUUGAUGAUGCCUAAUUUAAAAAUUUUCUCGUGGAAUUGUCAAGGGUUGCUAGUAGAAGUUUUAUUAGAGCAUUUCGUGAAUAUAAUUCGAAAUAUAGUCUAGAUAUUGUUUGCCUAGUUGAACCAAGAGUAAACAAUAAAAAAUCCAAUUUUAUUAUUGAGUAAUUGGGCUUUAAUUUUUCUCAUCGGGUUGAAGCCGUUGGAUUUUCAGGUGGCAUCUGGGUAGGAUGGAAAAAUUCUCUUUAUAUUCAAAUCAUUAGUAGUCACUCUCAAUUCAUUUUUCUUCGUGUUGAUAAUUUAAUUUUCAAUAAGUCUUUUCCAAUCUCUUUUGUUUAUGGUAGCCUUGACAGGAUGAAACGCAAGCUUCUUUGGGAAGGGUUAAAAUCUGCCUCCUUAGCCCAAUCCAUUCAUUGGCUUAUCAUGGGAGAUUUUAAUGCUAUCAUAUCUUCUAAGGACAAGAGAAGUCCCUCUAAUCCUAGAAAAU